AACUACUUACUUCCACCUGUGUAGCUGGCGAUGUAGGAGCACGGUUACUGCUGUUGUUGCUGCUCACCUUCUUCUGCCCAACCCUUUGCUAAUGCCGCAAGUCCCGAGCUAGACCUGGCGGAUGCUCAGCGGCUCAGGAGCUUGUUUAGCCGCUGUUGGCAGUGUUGCCGCCACCCGUUGCCGGCUGGUAGUUGCAGAGCAGAAGGCUCUCGGGGCUGAUUCGCCUGCUGCUACAUGACGUAGAUCUACACGGCGAAGUCCACGGCGAUAGUAACGGCUGUCAUUACUGGACACGACUCGUUUGCAAUGAAGCGUCCAUGUCUUUGCUCAGAUUGACAGUUUGCAGCCGUUUACUGACCCGGCUCAGUUCAAAUAGAUGAUGUCCUUCAUUUCUCCUGAGAGCCGGUGCUGUGCCAUUCAUUCCCAAUCACGAAGCCACUGUGUUUAACGACAUUGGAUAGUUUGGGCUACAAGUGCCAAGUCGCAAGCCAUGCCCUUCAGCAAGACCGAGUGUGCUGACAGUGCUGUCACCGGGAUUCCAGCAUGUUGGCGGAGUGGAGGCUUGACGGGCCUUGUCAUAUGGUCCAGAUGCAGUCGUGAAUUUGGUCAAAUCAGUCGGCAGGAAGCGUGCGUGUUGUUCUAUUACCAUGAUUAUGUAACACAGUGCAUAUUGCAUAUUUGGGCAUGCCUCAUUCAUUGUACCUUGUAUGGAGGGAUGCCAGUGGUUUGGGAACAGUAGAUCGUGUAGUUUAGGCUCGAGCCACC
Long non-coding RNA from Sycon ciliatum, 765 nucleotides. RefSeq lists it as uncharacterized. NCBI's taxonomy places the organism in Eukaryota, Metazoa, Porifera, Calcarea, Leucosolenida, Sycettidae. The transcript is spliced from 6 exons. The record is from RefSeq and is a predicted model, not a curated record.